GCCUUGUCCCCACGACUUCUCUGUGACUCCUACGGGAGGCAGCAGUGGGGAAUAUUGCACAAUGGGCACAAGCCUGAUGCAGCCAUGCCGCGUGUGUGAAGAAGGCCUUCGGGUUGUAAAGCACUUUCAGUUGUGAGGAAGGUGGUGUCGUUAAUAGCGGCAUCAUUUGACGUUAGCAACAGAAGAAGCACCGGCUAACUCCGUGCCAGCAGCCGCGGUAAUACGGAGGGUGCGAGCGUUAAUCGGAAUUACUGGGCGUAAAGCGCAUGCAGGUGGUUUGUUAAGUCAGAUGUGAAAGCCCGGGGCUCAACCUCGGAACUGCAUUUGAAACUGGCAGACUAGAGUACUGUAGAGGGGGUAGAAUUUCAGGUGUAGCGGUGAAAUGCGUAGAGAUCUGAAGGAAUACCGGUGGCGAAGGCGGCCCCCUGGACAGAUACUGACACUCAGAUGCGAAAGCGUGGGGAGCAAACAGGAUUAGAUACCCUGGUAG
This 490-nucleotide ribosomal RNA is filed under the name uncultured bacterium. RNAcentral describes it as "bacterial SSU rRNA". It matches the Rfam family "Bacterial small subunit ribosomal RNA", at positions 301 to 793 of the family's 1533-position model. The record is from RNAcentral.